This 397-nucleotide ribosomal RNA is filed under the name uncultured bacterium. RNAcentral's name for it is "partial 16S ribosomal RNA". It matches the Rfam family "Bacterial small subunit ribosomal RNA", at positions 523 to 918 of the family's 1533-position model. The record is from RNAcentral.
AUACGUAGGGGGCGAGCGUUGUCCGGAAUGAUUGGGCGUAAAGGGCGCGUAGGCGGCCCGGUAAGUCUGGAGUGAAAGUCCUGCUUUUAAGGUGGGAAUUGCUUUGGAUACUGUCGGGCUUGAGUGCAGGAGAGGUAAGUGGAAUUCCCAGUGUAGCGGUGAAAUGCGUAGAGAUUGGGAGGAACACCAGUGGCGAAGGCGACUUACUGGACUGUAACUGACGCUGAGGCGCGAAAGUGUGGGGAGCAAACAGGAUUAGAUACCCUGGUAGUCCACACUGUAAACGAUGAAUGCUAGGUGUAGGGGGUAUCGACCCCUUCUGUGCCGCAGUUAACACAAUAAGCAUUCCGCCUGGGGAGUACGGCCGCAAGAAUGAAACUCAAAUGAAUUGACGGGG